RNAcentral lists this non-coding RNA (27 nucleotides) under Rattus norvegicus (Norway rat). The record is from RNAcentral. Lineage: Eukaryota; Metazoa; Chordata; Mammalia; Rodentia; Muridae.
UGACUGGCUUUGAUCACACAGGUGGCU